GAAUUUCUUCAUAGCCUUCCUCCCCUUCAGAUAAUGAUAUGACUUUGAUGGCAACCAUUUCUGAUGUCCUCAAGUCUCGAGCUUUAUAAACAGCCCCAUAUGAACCCUUCCCUAGCUCAUGAAGCAAUUCAUACUUGGUACAAGGAUCUUCCCUAGUCACACUGUCCGGUAUUGAACUCGACGACACCUUACUCCCCUGUGGCCUCAAUGUACCACCUUCCUCAUCAGAGGGCGCUCUACUGCUACGAUUCCUCUGCCUCCCUAUUCCAAUCUCCCCUGCUGCCUGCAUACUAGCCACUGCUCUGCUCAUAGUUGAUCCAGCACCUUCAUUACUUCCACUUCUAACGGUUCUCCUCACCAUAGUCCCUGAAUCAAACUCAUUAUCCUUCACUACAAACGUCGAAAACCUACCAUCCUCCUCCUCCUCCUCCUCAU
RNAcentral lists this unclassified non-coding RNA (435 nucleotides) under Hevea brasiliensis (rubber tree). Lineage: Eukaryota; Viridiplantae; Streptophyta; Magnoliopsida; Malpighiales; Euphorbiaceae. The record is from RNAcentral.